RNAcentral lists this ribosomal RNA (253 nucleotides) under uncultured bacterium. RNAcentral describes it as "partial 16S ribosomal RNA". It matches the Rfam family "Bacterial small subunit ribosomal RNA", at positions 524 to 776 of the family's 1533-position model. The record is from RNAcentral.
UACGAACUGUGCGAACGUUACUCGGAAUCACUGGGCUUACAGGGUGCGUAGGUGGCUUGUUAAGCAGGGUGUGAAAUCCCUCGGCUCAACCGAGGAACUGCGCUCUGAACUGGCGAGCUGGAGUAUGCUAGAGGUGUAUGGAACAUCUAGUGGAGCGGUGAAAUGUGUUGAUAUUAGAUGGAACACCGGAGGCGAAGGCGAUACACUGGGGCAUAACUGACACUGAGGCACGAAAGCCAGGGGAGCAAACGGG